GCAGGCUUGAGAAGUCCCAGUUAUGCUUGGCAUGCCCCAGAGUGGCUGGGGAUCUUGAAAAGCUGGUCAGGGGAGUGAGAGAAUGAGGCUUUAAAAAAUGUUAUUGGGCACUAGGGACAGGCCAGGAAGGGGUUUAGAGUGUGUUGUCGUGGUUCAGCAACUGGAUCUGACUGAUGAUCAAGCUGUGAUUCGGGCCUCCAAGCCAGAGAAAACACACAAGAGUGCUGUAAAAGUUGCAGGUCACCGAGGUUACAUACUCCAACUAUGUGAAGGCUCUAUGAAUAUGAAGACUUCUUCCUUUUAGCUGCUUUGGUAGCGGAAUAGCACGUGGUUAUAAAUUACAAUUUUCUUUUUCAAACGUCUAGAAAGACAACAAAAAUUUGAAACACUGAUUCAAAUAGGUCCAAUUUCAAACUGUUUAACAUCGGAACUCUAGGGACUGUAUUUUAUUGGUGGAAGAUGGCACUCCAAUGAUGUCAGUGUGGCUCACAAACUUCAGCAUCUCCAGAUGUACCCAUAAACUGUAAACAUCCUCUUUAUUCUGUUUUCCCAUCAGCACUGAGCAGGUUAAAGAAGAAUAUUUGCCUUGGUAAGCAGUCAAAAAUUUUCCAGUCCAUGAAAAGUGUUAGUAAACAU
Molecule: long non-coding RNA, 636 nt
Filed under: Anas zonorhyncha (Eastern spot-billed duck)
Lineage: Eukaryota; Metazoa; Chordata; Aves; Anseriformes; Anatidae
Description: lncRNA (ENSAZOG00000008470.1)
Source: RNAcentral